AGGGUCUUGCACACCAUUGUUCGGGGUUCUCUCUCCUGUGUGUGGUGAGUGGGGAUCCUGUUGUAAUAGUUUAUUUCCUUUAAUAAAGAUCAGGUUUACUAGCCGUUUUGCUUUCAGUAUACAGUGGUACCUCGGGUUAAGUACUUAAUUCGUUCCGGAGGUUCGUUCUUAACCUGAAACUGUUCUUAACCUGAGGUACCACUUUAGCUAAUGGGGCCUCCUGCUGCCGCUGCGCCACCGGAGCACGAUUUCUGUUCUCAUCUUGAAGCAAAGUUCUUAACCUGAAGGACUACUUCUGGGUUAGCGGAGUCUGUAAUCUGAAGCGUCUGUAACCUGAAGCGUAUGUAACCCGAGGUACCACUGUACUCUGGCUGGCCUCUGCUUUAUCUCCAUCUGAUAGAGAUCUCCUGAGGGACUCUGUAUGGGCUCUGGAUACCCCAUAACGGAGUUAGAGGUAGUUUUCUUAUAACACUUUAUGCUCAGAAUUGUCGUUUUGUCCCGGUUACAUCCUGCCGCCCGGGACUUAUCUUGCCUAAUCAUUUCCCUCUCUCUUUAUGCUCUUAGCUGAUGUCACCAUUGCUCAUCCUGGCCAAUAGGUGGCGUAAUAGACAUCUGCCCACAAUGGCCAGGGGGACUGGCUGUCUCAGGUAGCAGAUGCUGGUUGGUGGUGAGCCAUAGUGAGGUAUUGCAGGACAAAGCCUCUCCUCCUCCCAGAGGGGAGGGGUUGUGAGCGGGAGCAGCCUCCUGAGGGGGCCCCCCUGAUUGGUUCUGCUGCCGCAGCCAAGCCUCCCAGCCAACCAAUAGGAUCAGCUGGUGGGCGGGGCUAAAUGCGCUUAAACAGCCACGGCAGCCCACUUCUCUCAUUCUGUUCCUGCUUCCUUCGGAUAUGGGUAUUCCGUUAGAGGAAUCCGGCGGUUGUGGAUCCUGUCCGAUGCCCUGCUAGUGGCUAUGGCCAUGGCAUGGCCCCCGGUGACAUCAUGGGGUUGCUUCCAGUUGUAUUUGCAUUAACAAGCUCCUCCCAUUGGUUGUUAACCCUGAUAUGAAUCCCGGCUGAGCGGGGUGGAGUCUUGUAUUGCUGUUUCAUCCAAUGCCUAAGCCAAUACUACUCACAUGCUGUAACCAAUGAAAGUUGUGGCCUAAUUUUGCCCAUUAACCUAAAAUAACGUGUCUGUGUGUCUUAUUAUAAUCCUAUGCAGGUGGAGGGUCCUUGACUCACAAAGCUUUAUGCACUGCAUGACCUGUCAUGCGCCUCCUAAGCUAGCUUGCUGCCCUCAUGUGCUGUGGAGAUCACCGGUCCAUUUGCCAGUGUUGAAGUGAGAAUCAGCCAACAGCCUGGCCGGCUUCUGUAAAUAGAGCCAGAGUGGUUGCACCAAGUUUUCCUUCACCUUGAGCGUUCUGCCAAGACUCUCCACAUUUUUUCAAGUAUUCUGAGAGUUUCACUCAGGCAUCUUCCGUUUUCAUGCUCAUUCUUCUCUGCGGCCGACCUUUAUUUGCAGGAGAAGGUGCUAGAAAGAAAGGGCAGACAUCUGGAGUACACAUGUGUGGAGCUGUCAAGACCUUGAAAGCUGAAGAAUACCCUUCAACCACCUCCUUUCAUUCUCCCCUGUUUCCCUCUGGAAUUAUCUUGCUUGUCUCAUUCUCCAUAGCAGACUUCAGAUAACAUGUCAUCCAGGCCCGGGAAGGGUUCUCAAAAAAAGAAGAAGAGAGGAUGCACCUUAGCUAAAUGGUCCACAGUCACCACACAUCACUAAAAUACCUACAUUGUUCCUAGUAAUAAUUUCACCCUAAUGAGAAAGCUCAUUGCUAAACCCUCUGAAAUAUACUCAGAGUCAAGUAG
This is a non-coding RNA of Podarcis lilfordi (Lilford's wall lizard), 1837 nucleotides long. Lineage: Eukaryota; Metazoa; Chordata; Lepidosauria; Squamata; Lacertidae. The record is from the annotation of a GenBank genome assembly.